UACGUAGGGGGCUAGCGUUGUCCGGAUUUAUUGGGCGUAAAGAGCGUGUAGGCGGCCAGGUAGGUCUGCUGUGAAAGCUCGAGGCUCAACCUCGAGACGUCGGCGGAAACCAUCUGGCUAGAGUCCGGAAGAGGAGAGUGGAAUUCCGAGUGUAGAGGUGAAAUUCGUAGAUAUUCGGAGGAACACCAGUGGCGAAGGCGGCUCACUGGUCCGGUACUGACGCUGAGGUGCGAAAGCGUGGGGAGCAAACAGG
This 253-nucleotide ribosomal RNA is filed under the name uncultured bacterium. RNAcentral's name for it is "partial 16S ribosomal RNA". It matches the Rfam family "Bacterial small subunit ribosomal RNA", at positions 524 to 776 of the family's 1533-position model. The record is from RNAcentral.